GAAAUGCGAUAAGUAAUGUGAAUUGCAGUAUUCAGUGAAUCAUCGAAUCUUUGAACGCACCUUGCGCUCCUUGGUAUUACUUGGAGCAUGCCUGUUUGAGUAUCAUGAAAUCUUCAAAGUAAAUCUUUUGUUAACUCAAUUGGUUUCUACUUUGGUAUUGGAGGUCUUUGCAGCUUCACACCUGCUCCUCUUUGUUCAUUAGCUGGAUCUCAGUGUUAUGCUUGGUUCCACUCGGCGUGAUAAGUUAUCUAUCGCUGAGGACACUGUAAAAGGUGGCCAAGGUAAAUGCAGAUGAACCGCUUCUAAUAGUCCAUUGACUUGGACAAUACUUUUAUGAUCUGAUCUCAAAUCAGGUAGGACUACCCGCUGAACUUAAGC
Molecule: unclassified non-coding RNA, 378 nt
Filed under: plant metagenome
Description: partial contains 5.8S ribosomal RNA, internal transcribed spacer 2, and large subunit ribosomal RNA
Rfam family: 5.8S ribosomal RNA (bases 1-105)
Source: RNAcentral